CCGGUGCGGCGGCGGCCUCGGGGUGUGUGAGACUGCGCGUGUGCUUGUGUAUGCGGGGGGGGGGAGGGUGCGGUGCCGGUGCGUGUGUGGUGUGUAGGGUGUGUGUGUGUGCGUGGGGGCUGCGGUGCGUGCGUGUUUGCGUGCGUGUGUGCGGUGCCGGUGCGUGUGUGUGGGUACCCUGCCGUGCCGUGCCGUGUGUGUGUGUGCGGGGGGUGCGAGGCCGGUGCGGUGCGUGUGGGUACCGUGCAGUGUGUCUGUGCGGAGGGUGCGGUGCCGGUGCGGUGCCGUGUGUGUGCGUGCGCGGUCGGCGCGGCGCGGGGGGGGCCGUGCGGGGCGCGUACGCCGGGCGGACCCGGCGGGGCGCAGCGCGGGGCGGUCACCGGCAGGGCCGGUCGCCGCCGCCGCACGGCGUAUGUAGUACGGGGCUGGGCGGCUGCCGGAGGGUGAAUGAAGCGAGGAGGAGGCGGCGGCGGGGGAGGCGGCGCUGGCGCUGGGAUGUGCCCGGCAGCAGCCCCGCUCCGCUUUACUCAGGGCCCAGACCGGCUGCAGACGCCACCCGUCACAUUGCAGGCCAAGCCAGAUGGGCAAGCAAUACAAGCUGUGAAUUUAUCCUUGACCCCAUAGGACAGUGACCACCGUCAUUUUUGUCUUCACCGUACAGUUAUGCACUGCCAGUAAGUGAAAAGGUCAAGAAAAGCAGUAGCUCAGUGGCUGAAUUUUUCUGAAGUGCUUUACAGCAGGGAAAGUGGGGAAACCUCUUAAAGUGGUGUCUUACUCA
RNAcentral lists this long non-coding RNA (778 nucleotides) under Corvus moneduloides (New Caledonian crow). RNAcentral's name for it is "lncRNA (ENSCMUG00000017916.1)". The record is from RNAcentral. Lineage: Eukaryota; Metazoa; Chordata; Aves; Passeriformes; Corvidae.